GAUGAAGAACGUAGCGAAAUGCGAUAAGUAGUGUGAAUUGCAGAAUUCAGUGAAUCAUCGAAUCUUUGAACGCGCAUUGCGCCCCUCGGUAUUCCGUGGGGCAUGCCUGUUCGAGCGUCAUUUAACCCCUCAAGCCUAGCUUGGUAUUGGGUGCUUGUCCCGCCUCUCGCGCGGCGACUCACCUCAAAGUCAUUGGCAGCCCGCAUCUCGCCGGCCGUGAGCGCAGCACAGACGCGCUCUUGGCAACGACGGAUCGGCUCUCCAAAAGCUUAUUUCAACCACUGACCUCGGAUCAGGUAGGGAUACCCGCUGAACUUAAGCAUAUCAAUAAGCGGAGGA
This 339-nucleotide unclassified non-coding RNA is filed under the name soil metagenome. Its description in RNAcentral is "partial contains 5.8S ribosomal RNA, internal transcribed spacer 2, and large subunit ribosomal RNA". The stretch from base 1 to 120 matches the Rfam family "5.8S ribosomal RNA", at positions 35 to 154 of the family's 154-position model. The record is from RNAcentral.